RNAcentral lists this ribosomal RNA (500 nucleotides) under uncultured bacterium. RNAcentral describes it as "partial 16S ribosomal RNA". It matches the Rfam family "Bacterial small subunit ribosomal RNA", at positions 30 to 523 of the family's 1533-position model. The record is from RNAcentral.
AUUGAACGCGGGCGGAAUGCUUUACACAUGCAAGUCGAACGGCAGCACGGACUUCGGUCUGGUGGCGAGUGGCGAACGGGUGAGUAAUAUAUCGGAACGUGCCCAGGCGUGGGGGAUAACGUAGCGAAAGUUACGCUAAUACCGCAUACGAUCUACGGAUGAAAGCGGGGGAUCGCAAGAACUCGCGCGAUUGGAGCGGCCGAUAUCAGAUUAGGUAGUUGGUGGGGGAAGGGCUCACCAAGCCAACGAUCUGGAGCGGGUCUGAGAGGACGACAAGCCACACUGGACCUGAGACACGUUCCAGACUCCUACGGGAGGCAGCAUUGGGGAAUUUUGUACAAUGGACGCAAGUCUGAUCCAGCCAUUCCGCGUGCAGGAUGAAGGCCCUCGGGUUGUAAACUGCUUUUGUACAGAACGAAAAGGCUCUUCCUAAUACGGAGGGCUCAUGACGGUACUGUAAGAAUAAGCACCGGCUAACUACGUGCCAGCCGCCGCAGUAA